AGCAGCUCCCUCGCUGCGAUCUAUUGAAAUUCAGCCCUUGACACAAGGAUUUG
Molecule: ribosomal RNA, 53 nt
Filed under: Ailuropoda melanoleuca (giant panda)
Lineage: Eukaryota; Metazoa; Chordata; Mammalia; Carnivora; Ursidae
Description: similar to 28S ribosomal RNA
Source: RNAcentral